CCUACGGGGCGCAGCAGUGGGGAAUAUUGGGCCAUGGGCGCAAGCCUGACCCAGCAAUGCCGCGUGAAGGAAGAAGGCUUUCGGGUUGUAAACUUCUUUGACAGGGGAAGAGCAGAAGACGGUACCUGCAAAGGAAGCACCGGCUAACUCCGUGCCAGCAGCCGCGGUAAUACGGAGGGUGCGAGCGUUAAUCGGAAUUACUGGGCGUAAAGCGCUCGUAGGCGGUAUGUCAAGUCAAGGGUGAAAUCCCCGCGCUCAACGUGGGAACUGCCUUUGAAACUGGCAAACUGGAGUGUGUGAGAGGAUAGUGGAAUUCCAGGUGUAGGAGUGAAAUCCGUAGAUAUCGGGAGGAACAUCAGUGGCGAAGGCGACUAUCUGGCACAUAACUGACGCUGAGGAGCGAAAGCGUGGGUAGCAAACAGGAUUAGAUACCCUUGUAGUC
Molecule: ribosomal RNA, 442 nt
Filed under: uncultured bacterium
Lineage: Bacteria
Description: partial 16S ribosomal RNA
Rfam family: Bacterial small subunit ribosomal RNA
Source: RNAcentral